GCGCUCGGUGGCCAAAGGCUUCGAUGGCAAGUCACUCACACUGGCUGACAGCACCCGGAUUGCUGCAGACCUGCUGAUCGUCGGUGCGGGUGUC
This 94-nucleotide transfer RNA is filed under the name compost metagenome. RNAcentral's name for it is "tRNA-Val". The record is from RNAcentral.